CUCAAUAGCAAAAACCCCCAAAUAACCCAAUUAAAAAAAAAAAACAAUUGGGCAGAAGACCUAAAUAGACAUUUCUCCAAAGAAGACACACAGAUGGUCAAAAGGCAUGUGAAAAGGAAUACUCAACAUUGCUAAUUAUUAGCAACAUGCAAAUCAAAACUAUAAUGAGGUAUCACCCCACACCAGUCAGAAUGACCAU
Molecule: long non-coding RNA, 199 nt
Organism: Aethalodelphis obliquidens (Pacific white-sided dolphin)
Lineage: Eukaryota; Metazoa; Chordata; Mammalia; Artiodactyla; Delphinidae
Exons: 2
Source: RefSeq, a predicted model, not a curated record